UUUUCCCUGCGUUGUGCGUGAUGGUGCAGGUUAAAUUGAGCCGAUACCUGUAUCUUAAAGGGAAUCUGUCUCUGUUUAUCUCAGAGAAACACUUACGAGUGGAUUAACUCCGCUACGAAGUCCUCUAAGACUAAACAGGCGGACAACCGUACUUCUUCAGUGGGUUCAAUUUCAUCUUUACACGGCAACUGCGGGGUUCAA
This 201-nucleotide non-coding RNA is filed under the name Candidatus Rifleibacteriota bacterium. Its description in RNAcentral is "6S RNA". It matches the Rfam family "6S / SsrS RNA". From Rfam's summary of the family: E. coli 6S RNA was the first non coding RNA to be sequenced, but its function was unknown until recently. It consists of 184 nucleotides that fold into an extended hairpin structure with a large single-stranded internal bulge. The 6S RNA specifically associates with RNA polymerase holoenzyme containing the sigma70 specificity factor. The record is from RNAcentral. Lineage: Bacteria; Candidatus Rifleibacteriota.